CAGUAGCCGCGGGAAUACGUAGGGUGCGAGCGUUAAUCGGAAUUACUGGGCGUAAAGCGUGCGCAGGCGGUUCGUUAAGACAGAUGUGAAAUCCCCGGGUUUAACCUGGGAACUGCAUUUGUGACUGGCGAGCUAGAGUAUGGCAGAGGGGGGUAGAAUUCCACGUGUAGCAGUGAAAUGCGUAGAGAUGUGGAGGAAUACCGAUGGCGAAGGCAGCCCCCUGGGCCAAUACUGACGCUCAUGCACGAAAGCGUGGGGAGCAAACAGGAUUAGAUACCCCAGUAGUCCCUGUCUCUUAUAC
This 301-nucleotide ribosomal RNA is filed under the name uncultured bacterium. RNAcentral describes it as "partial 16S ribosomal RNA". It matches the Rfam family "Bacterial small subunit ribosomal RNA", at positions 509 to 807 of the family's 1533-position model. The record is from RNAcentral.